RNAcentral lists this ribosomal RNA (427 nucleotides) under uncultured archaeon. RNAcentral's name for it is "bacterial SSU rRNA". It matches the Rfam family "Archaeal small subunit ribosomal RNA", at positions 474 to 903 of the family's 1478-position model. The record is from RNAcentral.
UACCAGCUCUUCGAGUGGUGUGGAUGUUUAUUGGGCCUAAAGCAUCCGUAGCUGGCUGGGCAAGUCCCCUGUUAAAUCCACCGAUUCAAUCGUUGGAGUGCGGGGGAUACUGCUCGGCUAGGGGACGGGAGAGGCAGACGGUAUUUUCGGGGUAGGGGUGAAAUCCUAUAAUCCCGGGAAGACCACCAGUGGCGAAGGCUGUCUGCUAGAACGUGCCCGACGGUGAGGGAUGAAAGCUGGGGGAGCGAACCGGAUUAGAUACCCGGGUAGUCCCAGCUGUAAACGAUGCAGGCUAGGUGUUUGGACGGCCACGUGCCGUUCUAGUGCCGCAGGGAAGCCGUUAAGCCUGCCGCCUGGGGAGUACGGCCGCAAGGCUGAAACCUAAGGAAUUGGCGGGGAGCACCACAAGGGGUGAAGCUUGCGGUUU